CAUCUACGGAGAGUUUGAUCCUGGCUCAGGACGAACGCUGGCGGCGUGCUUAACACAUGCAAGUCGAACGCUGAACCCGCUUCGGUGGGGAAUGAGUGGCGAACGGGUGAGUAACACGUGGGCAACCUGCCCCCGGCUCUGGGAUA
This 146-nucleotide ribosomal RNA is filed under the name Geodermatophilus africanus. RNAcentral describes it as "16S rRNA. Bacterial SSU". It matches the Rfam family "Bacterial small subunit ribosomal RNA", at positions 1 to 145 of the family's 1533-position model. The record is from RNAcentral. Lineage: Bacteria; Bacillati; Actinomycetota; Actinomycetes; Geodermatophilales; Geodermatophilaceae.